UACGUAGGGGGCAAGCGUUAUCCGGAUUUACUGGGUGUAAAGGGAGCGUAGACGGUGAUGCAAGUCAGAAGUGAAAGCCCGGGGCUCAACUCCGGGACUGCUUUUGAAACUGUGUAACUGGAGUGCAGGAGAGGUAAGCGGAAUUCCUGGUGUAGCGGUGAAAUGCGUAGAUAUCAGGAGGAACACCAGUGGCGAAGGCGGCUUACUGGACUGUAACUGACGUUGAGGCUCGAAAGCGUGGGGAGCAAACA
This 251-nucleotide ribosomal RNA is filed under the name uncultured bacterium. RNAcentral describes it as "partial 16S ribosomal RNA". It matches the Rfam family "Bacterial small subunit ribosomal RNA", at positions 524 to 774 of the family's 1533-position model. The record is from RNAcentral.